CCUGGGGAGUACGGUCGCAAGAUUAAAACUCAAAGGAAUUGACGGGGACCCGCACAAGCGGUGGAUGAUGUGGAUUAAUUCGAUGCAACGCGAAAAACCUUACCUACCCUUGACAUGGAAGGAAUCCCCGAGAGAUUGGGGAGUGCCCGAAAGGGAACCUUCACACAGGUGCUGCAUGGCUGUCGUCAGCUCGUGUCGUGAGAUGUUGGGUUAAGUCCCGCAACGAGCGCAACCCUUGUCAUUAGUUGCUACGAAAGGGCACUCUAAUGAGACUGCCGGUGACAAACCG
RNAcentral lists this ribosomal RNA (289 nucleotides) under Pseudoduganella aquatica. RNAcentral describes it as "partial 16S ribosomal RNA". It matches the Rfam family "Bacterial small subunit ribosomal RNA", at positions 872 to 1165 of the family's 1533-position model. Lineage: Bacteria; Pseudomonadati; Pseudomonadota; Betaproteobacteria; Burkholderiales; Oxalobacteraceae. The record is from RNAcentral.